CUGCACUCCAGCCUGGGCGACAGAGUGAGACUCUGUGUCACAAAACAAAAAAAGAAAAGUCAUUGCAAGACAGAAGAAGAACUGGCAGGACAGAGACAGGUGACCCGUGACCCAGCCUUACUCCUGUCCUCGGCCUCCUGCUCCCAGGAAGCAGCAGGCUUCUCCAGCCGGGACCCUGCUUGCCCGGUUCGCGGCCACACGUCCACGGUGAUCCACGCACUGGCCUGUGCGCCUCUGUGCUGUCCCAGUCCCACCAGACUGUGGGCUCUCUGGGGACGCAGGCUUGCUCAUGCCCCUGGUGGGCACUCGGGGUUGUUGGUGGGGUGGGUAAAUGGACGACAGAGGCGUGCAUGGGCCUCUUUUGCACAACUUGCCUGAUCCUCCACAGGUGUCUCUCGGGGGGCCCCACCCCAUUCCUCGUGGGCUCUGAGCUCCUCUGGGGGGACUGCUUCUCCUCUCUCCUGAGUUCCAGCUCUGCCUCCAGGUCUGGCCCAGAGAUGAUACGCACAGCGCUGGCAGAGGCAUUUUCCUUGUGUUCUGUUGCCUUCAAUCCGUGCCAGGGUUGCAGGAGGCGGGGAGAGGGCAGGAGGUGAGGGUGGAGAAGGGACUCUGCUAUGGAUGUUAGAGGAGUACGGAGUCUUAGCCAGAGACCUCUUCUUUAUUGCACGGAAUGGGAGAAAAUGCAGUGCAACAGGGAAGUCAAAAGUGCUGGCAUGGCUAAAGUGUGGCCAUAAGAAUGUGCCCAGGCACCUCCCCCGAGGAGGGGACCACAGAGGCUGGAGACAUAAAGUUCCUCUUGCUGUGGGCCACGGCCCGGGGAGCUGAGAGUGGCCCAAAGCAACAGGCCUGAGGACAUGCAGAACGGAGGCUGCACCCACUGAGACUUGCAGCCCGUUGUGCCUUAGGAAGGUGGGGAGUGAAGGGAGGUGAGCACUAUAGAGCCAGACCCAGGGCCCUGUAGCACGUGGAGAGCAGGGCUGUUUAAAAUCUUAACUUCGGUUUUGUGUGCCCCAGGCAUGUCUCCUCCCAGGACACCCUCCCUGGCCUGCCUCCCUGCUGUGCCAGGCUCCAGCCCCUCUCCCCCUCCCCUUCUGCAAGCCCCUUGUCUGGGGCACACCCUCCUUCCCUCUUUCCCCUCUCUCUCUCCUCUGUCCCCCAGCUCCUCCACAGGCACCCCCUCCCCACCCCCUCGCAGGGUCUUCUUGGUCUGCAUUUCAUGAUUUAUUUUUAGCACCUGUGCCAUCCUGAGGAUGUGAACAAUAUUCCUGAGUCAUGGCUUUGCAAGGAAGCAGGGGCAGACAGCUCCCUCUCCACCUCUGAAGAUGGCUUAUCAACCUCUCCAGGCCUGCAAAGGGCAGAGCUUUAUCUGCCAGUUCCUCUUCUGGGUGGACUUUUUCCCUUCUUCCCCACCCCUAGCUCAGCCUCCAGCUGCUACAACCCGGGGGGCGUCAGUCAGAGAAGCCAGCUGCUCCUGCGGGUCCCAGGGAAGCAAGCAGAGCUAAAUUCCCUUGUAUCCAGGCCACAUUCUCAGCAGAGAGGGUUUCAGGAAGAAGGGACCAUGAGGCACCUCUGGUGUUCCUGCGACUGAGGACAGAGAGGAAGCCUGCUCAGAAAAGGAGCAAGCAGAAGAUGCAGGCACACAACGCUCAGCUCUCGGCAAGCUGCGGGCCCUGCUUCCACACACGGAGCCCCCGUGCACUUCUAUGGAGACAGCCCCACAAAGCCCAGGAUUUGGGAGCAGAGAGACCUCGGGAAGGAAUUAUGUUUUUUGGAAGCUGUUUUGUCAUAACGACAAAAGUCUUAGCAGUUUGGAUUUCAGCCUUGGAGUUUUUCUUUUCAUCGUGUAUAAUUUCAACUUGUGCUGAGGGCUUUGGGCCUGGAGCCUGGUGAGUACAGCUCAAUGGCGCCCCCUGAAGGCCAACGGGGGAUGUACAGUGAAAGAGGCUACGGCGAGACCCUCAGGCCCUCCCUACCUGACCAGCCAAGACAGGUCAGCACCUAGGCCCCAACGCAGGGUCAGAGCACAGCAAAUCCAAGGAGCUGCGUUGCUGACCCAGCUCGGACACCAACAAGCAGUUCAUGCGUGUGCCCACAUAGCUGAGAAGAGAUUGGACUUUGUCACAAAACAGGCCACAGGCACAGACAAGUUACUUAACCUCUCUGACUCAGUUUCCCUUUCUACAUAAUACAGGGUACAAAGUAAUUUUUUUUAUUGCUUAGUAUGUGGCAGGCUGUGUUUAAGUGCCUCGCAUGUGUUCACCCAUUUCAUCCUUACAGCACCCCUCUGGUUUGUGUGCUAUUAUUAUUGCCCACUUUGUACAAAGGAGAAAACCAAGGCCCAGGGCGAGUCAGGAACCUUCACAGCUAAUAAAUGGAAAAAUUAGGUUUGGACCUAGGUGGUGUGGCCCGGAGCCCGGAGACAGCCACACAGCACACUGCCUCCCAUAUUUACCUGGCGGGGCCACUGUGAGGACUGGGAAGAGAAGUGUCAACUGCCUCGCCCUGGGACUGGCACAGAAUAAAUGCUCAAAAAAUAGCAGCUCUAACUAGGUCCCGUGCUUGGUCGACCAUGUCCAUAAAGGUUACCACAGAUGCAGGGAAUCCAUGGACAGAGGUGACCAAUGGGACGCUUAGAAAAUCGGUAACUCUUGGGUGUCUGGCCUCUUGCACUGAGCAUCACGCCUUCCAGGUUCAUCCGUGUUGUGGCAUGUAGCGGAUUUCUUUCUUUUUUAAAAUCGAGCAGUAUUUCAUUGUAUGUAUACACCACUUUCUCUUCAGUCAUCUGUCAGCGGACAUUUAGGCUGUUUCCACACCUUAGCUAUCGUCAGCAGCGCUGCAGUGAACGUGAGAGUGCCGACAUUUCUUUAAUGUCCUGAUUUCAGCUCUUUCCUAUAGAGCCCCGGAGGUGGGACUGCAUCACACGGUGGCCCUACUGCUAAGCCUUUGAGGACCCACCACAGCGUCUUCUGCAGCGGCUAUACUGUCUACACUCCCAGCUGCACAAGAGCUCCAGUUUUCCACACCCGCGCCAACAGUUGUUAUCUUUUGGGGGUUUUUUGACAACAGCCACCCUAACCGGUUUGAGGUGAUAUCUCAUUGUAAGGAAAUAUGUUAUGAAAAGGAAACGUCAAAUUAUUGCAUAAAGAAACUAGUACAUAUAAUAGUAUCUGGACACGUGGUAUAUUAUAUAAAAAUACAUAUGAAUCUAAAAUAUCAA
Lemur catta (Ring-tailed lemur) is the source of this 3217-nucleotide long non-coding RNA. RefSeq lists it as uncharacterized. Lineage: Eukaryota; Metazoa; Chordata; Mammalia; Primates; Lemuridae. The record is from RefSeq and is a predicted model, not a curated record. The transcript has 3 exons.